UUCCUUUUCCCAUACCUGACACCUGUUCAUAAUGUGCAAACAGCUGAGCAGGUGAACAAUUUGUACCAACCGACAAAGUUCUAAGUAAUAAUGAUUAUGUUCAUAUAGAAGUAACUCUUACUCUUUAGGAUUAUGCAUUCUGUGUUAUAAUCAUUGUACAACUCAAAACUAUAUCAAUUCAGUGAUCCCAUAAGGAAUUAACAGGAAUCACUUUUCACACGAGGAUAAGUUUUAUGCUGCCUCCGAAUCAUUUAUUUGUGAAUUUAAAAAGAGUGUGUUAACGGAAGAUAAGUUGAUAGUUUUAACUUAGGAGACUCGCACAAUAUCCACAGAUUUGUGCUUCCUGUAUGUUUGGCACCAAUAAUCAGAUAAGCAAGUUAACUAGCGUCUUUAUUUCUUUAUUCUUUCUUUGCUUUUUUGGUUGUGGACAGGUUAGAAUGAUUGAUUUCCAACAGCAAAGAGUUAAGGCCAGCAAGAUGACUUCAAAGAAGGAAGGGGGUGGAUGAAGGAAUAUUGAAAGGAUGAAGGAAUAUUGAAAAAGAAAACAAGAAAAAUUGGAAAAUUUUCAGUUACAAAACUACAGCACCUUUUUUAUGUUUGCAAAAUUGCUCCCUGGUAAAGGUCCAAAGAAAUCUCAUAACACCAUAUUAGUUGAAUUCUUGGGGAUGCAGCAAUAAAACAAGUGGAAAUAGGCAUUUGAAGUCCAGCCCCUUAACGUAAAAAUAUGAUUAGUAAUUUCGAAGUGGUUUAUUAAUUAUUUGGAUGAAUGGGCCUUUUAAUUGUCUUGGCGUCUUCUUAGUCUACUCUUCAUCCAGGCUUUUACAUUGUAAAUUUUUUCUAUUUCUUACACUACAGCAAAGAGUACAGUCACUGUCUGAAUGUUUCCGCUACAUUCAGCAAGGUCUGAUUGAUAGAAAAAUUCAAGAUGCAUUCAGAUACUGG
This 942-nucleotide unclassified non-coding RNA is filed under the name Hevea brasiliensis (rubber tree). The record is from RNAcentral. Lineage: Eukaryota; Viridiplantae; Streptophyta; Magnoliopsida; Malpighiales; Euphorbiaceae.